RNAcentral lists this ribosomal RNA (440 nucleotides) under uncultured bacterium. Its description in RNAcentral is "partial 16S ribosomal RNA". It matches the Rfam family "Bacterial small subunit ribosomal RNA", at positions 338 to 795 of the family's 1533-position model. The record is from RNAcentral.
CCUACGGGAGGCAGCAGUGGGGAAUAUUGCACAAUGGGGGGAACCCUGAUGCAGCAACGCCGCGUGGGUGAAGAAGUACUUCGGUAUGUAAAGCCCUGUCAGCAGGGAAGAAAAUGACGGUACCUGACCAAGAAGCCCCGUCUAACUACGUACCAGCAGCCGCGGUAAUACGUAGGGGGCAAGCGUUAUCCGGAUUUACUGGGUGUAAAGGGGGCGUAGAGGGCAAGGCAGGUCUGGAGGGAAAGCCCGGGGGCCAAACACGGGACUGCUUUGGAAACUGUGUUGCUGGAGUGCAGGAGGGGUAAGCGGAAUGCGUAGUGUAGCGGUGAAAUGCGUAGAUAUUAGGAGGAACACCGGUGGCGAAGGCGGCUUACUGGACUGUAACUGACGUUGAGGCUCGAAGGCGUGGGGAGCGAACAGGAUUAGAUACCCUUGUAGUC